This 840-nucleotide ribosomal RNA is filed under the name Paenibacillus sp. TBS3-1_Pa. Its description in RNAcentral is "bacterial SSU rRNA". It matches the Rfam family "Bacterial small subunit ribosomal RNA", at positions 61 to 890 of the family's 1533-position model. The record is from RNAcentral. Lineage: Bacteria; Bacillati; Bacillota; Bacilli; Caryophanales; Paenibacillaceae.
GUCGAGCGGAGUAUUUCCUUCGGGGAAUGCUUAGCGGCGGACGGGUGAGUAACACGUAGGUAACCUGCCUAUAAGACUGGGAUAACUAUCGGAAACGAUAGCUAAGACCGGAUAACUGGUUUUCUCGCAUGAGAGAAUUAUGAAACACGGAGCAAUCUGUGACUUAUAGAUGGGCCUGCGGCGCAUUAGCUAGUUGGUAGGGUAAUGGCCUACCAAGGCGACGAUGCGUAGCCGACCUGAGAGGGUGAACGGCCACACUGGGACUGAGACACGGCCCAGACUCCUACGGGAGGCAGCAGUAGGGAAUCUUCCGCAAUGGACGCAAGUCUGACGGAGCAACGCCGCGUGAGUGAUGAAGGUUUUCGGAUCGUAAAGCUCUGUUGCCCUAGACGAACAGCAAGGCGAGUAACUGCGCUUUGUGUGACGGUAUAGGAGAAGAAAGCCCCGGCUAACUACGUGCCAGCAGCCGCGGUAAUACGUAGGGGGCAAGCGUUGUCCGGAAUUAUUGGGCGUAAAGCGCGCGCAGGCGGUUCGUUAAGUUGGGUGUUUAAGCCCGGGGCUCAACCCCGGUUCGCAUCCAAAACUGGCGAACUUGAGUGUAGGAGAGGAAAGUGGAAUUCCACGUGUAGCGGUGAAAUGCGUAGAGAUGUGGAGGAACACCAGUGGCGAAGGCGACUUUCUGGCCUAUAACUGACGCUGAGGCGCGAAAGCGUGGGGAGCAAACAGGAUUAGAUACCCUGGUAGUCCACGCCGUAAACGAUGCAUACUAGGUGUCGGGGAUUCGAUUUCUCGGUGCCGAAGUUAACACAGUAAGUAUGCCGCCUGGGGAGUACGCUCGCA